This 253-nucleotide ribosomal RNA is filed under the name uncultured bacterium. RNAcentral describes it as "partial 16S ribosomal RNA". It matches the Rfam family "Bacterial small subunit ribosomal RNA", at positions 524 to 776 of the family's 1533-position model. The record is from RNAcentral.
UACGAAGGUCCCGAGCGUUAUUCGGAAUCACUGGGCGUAAAGGGAGCGUAGGCGGCGUGGAAAGUCAGAUGUGAAAUCCCGGGGCUCAACCCCGGAACUGCAUCCGAUACUACCAUGCUAGAGUAUUGGAGGGGUAACUGGAAUUCUCGGUGUAGCAGUGAAAUGCGUAGAUAUCGAGAGGAACACUCGUGGCGAAAGCGAGUUACUGGACAAUUACUGACGCUGAGGCGCGAAAGCAAGGGGAUCAAACAGG